CGAGAAAGCCCGCAAGGGUGAGUAAAGCGGCGCACGGGUGCGUAACACGUGGGUAAUCUGCCCUGAAGUCCGGAAUAACUCGCCGAAAGGCGUGCUAAUGCCGGAUGAGGCCACGGGAGCCUCGGCUCCUGAGGGAAAAGGUGGCCUCUGUAAACAAGCUAUCGCUCUAGGAUGAGCCCGCGGCCCAUCAGCUCGUUGGCGGGGUAAUGGCCCACCAAGGCUACGACGGGUAGCUGGUCUGAGAGGACGAUCAGCCACACUGGAACUGAGACACGGUCCAGACUCCUACGGGAGGCAGCAGUGGGGAAUCUUGCGCAAUGGGCGAAAGCCUGACGCAGCAACGCCGCGUGUGUGAUGAAGGUCUUCGGAUCGUAAAGCACUGUCGCGAGGGACG
RNAcentral lists this ribosomal RNA (394 nucleotides) under uncultured Anaeromyxobacter sp. RNAcentral's name for it is "bacterial SSU rRNA". It matches the Rfam family "Bacterial small subunit ribosomal RNA", at positions 67 to 447 of the family's 1533-position model. Lineage: Bacteria; Pseudomonadati; Myxococcota; Myxococcia; Myxococcales; Anaeromyxobacteraceae. The record is from RNAcentral.